CCUCCCGGCCGGCCCCCGCCCUGGGGCAGCCCGGCCCUCAGCCGGGGCACGGAGCGCCGCCGUCGAGGAAGGGCGGCUCAGGCGGGGUGCGAGGCGAGCGAGGUCCUGUCCCGCUGUAGCCGGGAAGCCCCGAACGGGACACCGGGAACUCCGGCCCCCCGCCCGCAGGCUGUGCCCUUCCAGCGUCGGGAGCGGGCUCUGGGCAGGGUACCAGUGCCCCCCAAGAACACUUUGCCCCUCACUAUUUGUGCCAGAAUGAAAACACACCAUGGUCUGUCUGGCCCAGCAAACCCUGCCGAGCCUUGUAGAAGUCCUAUCCUCCCCUAUAGGCUCCUUUGAGCCUUGGCACAGAGAGCAUGAAAACGUGCUUUGUUCCAGCCUGGGGGUGACCCUGGCGUGCGACACCAGGCUUGAGCUGGAGCCUCGGCCACAGCCUGGGGUGGCCACCAUCACCCACAACUGUGGCAUUCUUUCAGACAUAACAGAAACCACCACACUCAGCGUGUGAGUAAUUAGGAACAGGGACUCGUGUCCCUCCCUCUCUGCAGUGCUCGUGACAAAGAGUGAGUGGGAGUAUUUUAAUUUGAUUCUUCAAAUGAUAAAAUUUCAGUUUAGUGCCCUAUCCUUGUGGUUGGUGAACCACCUUUGCCUCCCUGGAGUGCUUGUGUUUGUGCAUGGUUGGAAGUCUCAAAAAACAAAAUUUCAGAAUUUGACCCCAGUAGGACCCAGUUGGUUACCCAUGUUCUUAAAGCACUGCAGCGGUCAAAUGCCUGGUAGACAGAGCUGAUGAUAUGAUUUUGAUUAAAUAUAUUUUGGAUUAUAUGUCAGUUUGGUUGUGUUGUUUGCAUUUUGAUUAAUGCU
Molecule: long non-coding RNA, 861 nt
Filed under: Junco hyemalis (dark-eyed junco)
Lineage: Eukaryota; Metazoa; Chordata; Aves; Passeriformes; Passerellidae
Description: lncRNA (ENSJHYG00000011603.1)
Source: RNAcentral